Molecule: ribosomal RNA, 810 nt
Filed under: uncultured bacterium
Lineage: Bacteria
Description: bacterial SSU rRNA
Rfam family: Bacterial small subunit ribosomal RNA
Source: RNAcentral
AGAGUUUGAUCCUGGCUCAGAACGAACGCUGGCGGCGUGCCUAACACAUGCAAGUCGAGCGAGAAAGGGGAGCAAUCCCCGAGUAAAGCGGCAAACGGGUGAGUAACACGUGGGCAAUCUGCCCUCGAGUGGGGAAUAACAUCUCGAAAGAGGUGCUAAUACCGCGUAACAUCCAGAGACCUAAGGGUUUUUGGAUCAAAGGCGGGGAUCUUCGGACCCGCCGCUUGAGGAGGAGCCCGCGCCUGAUUAGCUAGUUGGUGGGGUAAUGGCCUACCAAGGCGACGAUCAGUAGCCGGCCUGAGAGGGUGACCGGCCACACUGGAACUGAGAAACGGUCCAGACUCCUGCGGGAGGCAGCAGUGAGGAAUUUUGGACAAUGGGCGAAAGCCUGAUCCAGCAACGCCGCGUGGACGAUGAAGGUCUUCGGAUUGUAAAGUCCUGUCGAGUGGGACGAAAGGCGCGGAGGUGAAUAGCCUUCGCGUCUGACUGUACCACCAGAGGAAGCCCCGGCUAACUCCGUGCCAGCAGCCGCGGUAAUACGGAGGGGGCCAGCGUUGUUCGGAAUUAUUGGGCGUAAAGGGCGCGUAGGCGGCGAGGUCAGUCAGACGUGAAAUCCCUCGGCUCAACCGAGGAAUUGCAUCUGAUACUGCCCUGCUCGAGGCCGGGAGAGGAGAGUGGAAUUCCCAGUGUAGCGGUGAAAUGCGUAGAUAUUGGGAGGAACACCGGUGGCGAAGGCGGCUCUCUGGACCGGUUCUGACGCUGAGGCGCGAAAGCUAGGGGAGCAAACAGGAUUAGAUACCCUAGUAGUCC